AUACUAUAUAUAUAUAUAUAUAGAGAGAGAGAGAGAGAGAGAGAGAGAGAGAGAGAGAGGGGUAAAGCUACUAUACUUUCAGAAGUAUAUAUAUACUUCCAACUUUUUAGUCCUUAAAUUAACCCUUUGACUAUUUAUGAUCUUUAGAUUAAGAGAGAGAGAGAGAGAGAGAGAGAGUAGAGCUGCUAUACUUUCGAAAGCAUAUAUAUACUUCCAACUUUUUAGUCCUUAAAUCAAUCAUUUGACUAUUUCUGAUUUUUAAAUUAAUAUUAUUAUUCUAGAACAACCACUCAACCCUAAAGGGGACCACUAUUAUUCCGAUCCUACAAUCCUUGAUCCAAGGAUCAAGAAGUCGGAAACAUCAAUUCUCUUAUACUUUCGAUAGUAAAGUAGUUCUAC
This 399-nucleotide long non-coding RNA is filed under the name Ananas comosus (pineapple). RNAcentral's name for it is "long non-coding RNA (ACOM_LNC041652)". The record is from RNAcentral. Lineage: Eukaryota; Viridiplantae; Streptophyta; Magnoliopsida; Poales; Bromeliaceae.